GAUGAACGCUGGCGGCGUGCCUAAUACAUGCAAGUCGAGCGAACAGACGAGGAGCUUGCUCCUCUGACGUUAGCGGCGGACGGGUGAGUAACACGUGGAUAACCUACCUAUAAGACUGGGAUAACUUCGGGAAACCGGAGCUAAUACCGGAUAAUAUAUUGAACCGCAUGGUUCAAUAGUGAAAGACGGUUUUGCUGUCACUUAUAGAUGGUUCCGCGCCGCAUUAGAUAGUUGGUAAGGUAACGGCUUACCAAGGCAACGAUGCGUAGCCGACCUGAGAGGGUGAUCGGCCACACUGGAACUGAGCCACGGUCCAGGCUCCUACGGGAGGCAGCAGUAGGGAAUCUUCCGCAAUGGGCGAAAGCCUGACGGAGCAACGCCGCGUGAGUGAUGAAGGUCUUCGGAUCGUAAAACUCUGUUAUUAGGGAAGAACAAAUGUGUAAGUAACUAUGCACGUCUUGACGGUACCGAAUCAGAAAGCCACGGCUAACUACGUG
RNAcentral lists this ribosomal RNA (497 nucleotides) under uncultured bacterium. RNAcentral's name for it is "partial 16S ribosomal RNA". It matches the Rfam family "Bacterial small subunit ribosomal RNA", at positions 28 to 507 of the family's 1533-position model. The record is from RNAcentral.